UUUUGUUCUUUUUUUUUUUUUGUCUUUUUCCUUUUUGAAAGACAUUUUCACCCAUCUAAAAUUUAAUUUACCUUUUGGUUUAUCAUUCUUUUGUCUACUAGUAUCCAUUGUUGUUACUGAGAAGUCAUCUCAAAAAGUCUGACUGCCAUGCCGUUAAAGGCUAUAAAACACAACAAAAGAAAACAAAACGGUGAGAACAAUAUUGGAUUUCAAAAGCAAGAUAGAAGGAAAUCCUCCAGUUACUAUAUUGCAUACUGUUAUGUGCUAAGCAGAAGCUUAGACUACCGGCCCCAGGCCUGCAAGGUCAAUCAGUCAGUACAAGCAUUACAUUGUUUUUGUACCUCAGUUGCUAUCAUCCCAGCCUGUGUUCCUCUAAAUCUACCAGCUGGCUCACAGGAAGGCCACUUCUUGGUUCUUUUCUUGGCCCGUGGCUGCUUCUGGUUCACUGGAUAUGCUAAUAUUGACUGGAGAAAUUUUUAUGCCCAUAUCUUGUACCUUGAACAACUGCUUCAAAGAUUACAACAUGUAAUGUAUUAACUAUUGUUUUUCUCCUAUCAUUUUGUUAUGAAACUUUGUUUUACCUUUUUUCCAUUAAGAAAACAUAGGGUACUAUAGGUAAAUGUGAUGCUAGGAGAUGGGGUCUUGUCACAAAAUGGGGUCACUGGGGGUCUGACCUGGGACAGUUCCUCUCUGCCCAUCUCCCAGCUUUUCUCUCUGCUUCCUCUGCACCACAGUGUGAGCCACCUCCCUCCGCCUAGCCUGUCUACCUUGCUUCUAAACAUAUAAGGACUGAAACUUCUGAGACAAAUCCCAAUGAAUUUCUCCUCCUUUAGGUUGUGGUGUUAGGUAUUUUGCCUCAUCAAUGAUGAAAAUAACUGAGAUACAUCUUUACUUUGAAAACAUUAAAAUGCUAGUGAAACAAAUUAAAAAAAACAUGAACACUUGGAGAGAUAACCCGUGUUCAUGGGUUAGAAGAAUCAAUAUUUUUUGAACAACCGUACCGUCCAAAGUGAUCUACAAAUUAAGUGCAAUCCUUAUCAAAUGGGUAAUGAUUUUGUCACAAAGAUAAGAAAAAGGAUCUCAAAAUUGCAUGAAACCAUGGAAACUCCAAAUAGUUAAAGCAAUGCUGAGUGACAGGAACAAACAGGCACCAAAUGUUGCUAAUUCCAAGAUCUACAACAAAGACAUAAUCCAGACAGAAUGGCACCAGCAUAAAAAGACACAGAGACCAAGGGAACAGAAGAGAGAGCGCAGAAAUAAAUCCACCCACUUAUAGUCACCUGGUUUUCAAUAGUUUCCAACAAGUCACCUUGCAGAAAUCUUCAAUACUUGAUGUUGAGAAAACUUGAUAUCUACAUGCAGAAGAACAACACUGAACCCUUAUGUCAUGAAUUCAGAAUGGAGAGACUUGAAAUCUUAAAACAAUUAGGAGAAAAUAUAGAGGAAAUGCUAUUUGACAUUUGUUUGGUGAGUUUUUAAUGGAAAUAAUAACAAAGACACAGGCACCAAAAGCAAAACACAGGCAAAUGGGGUGGCGUCAAACAAAAAUGCUUCCUGUCUAGCAAAAGAAGCAAUGUACACAGUCAAGAGCCAUCUGUGGAAUGGGAGAAACUCUCUGUACUCUGUGUAUCUGAUAAGGCAUUAAUAUCCCAGAUCUGUAAGGACUUCAGAUAACUCACUAGCAUGAAAAUAACUCUGUUAGUGAACUGAAAGGACAAAUAACUGGAAUAGAUAUUUUUAGAAGGCUUAUAACCUGGAAAUGUAGCUUAGUGAUAGAGGGAAGCCCUGACUUCAGUUCCCAGCACCAAGAAGGAGGAAGAAGAAGUGAAGGAGAAGUAGGAGGAGGAGGAAAAGGAGGGGGAUGAAGAGAAGGAGAAGUACAAAUGGUCAACACUUAAAAAUAUAUUCACUAUCAAGAACCAAUAGGGAAAUAAAAGUAAAACCACUGUGGUUUCCCUGCGCACCUGCACACUGUUGGAAAGAUUUGAGAUGAGUUGUUGGUGAGGAUGUGGCAAAA
This is a long non-coding RNA of Cavia porcellus (domestic guinea pig), 2017 nucleotides long. RefSeq lists it as uncharacterized. Lineage: Eukaryota; Metazoa; Chordata; Mammalia; Rodentia; Caviidae. The record is from RefSeq and is a predicted model, not a curated record. The transcript is spliced from 2 exons.